RNAcentral lists this long non-coding RNA (734 nucleotides) under Amborella trichopoda. RNAcentral's name for it is "long non-coding RNA (ATRI_LNC000296)". Lineage: Eukaryota; Viridiplantae; Streptophyta; Magnoliopsida; Amborellales; Amborellaceae. The record is from RNAcentral.
CAAUAUUGAUACAUUAAUUGUUUUUAACUACUAAUAAAAUGCCACUAUUUUUUUUAUAAAAAUAUCUAUUUUACCCUUCUAAAUGACAAAAAAUGCCCCUAUUUGAAAAAUUUUGUAUUAUAAUUCAAAGGUAUUUUAUACACGACCAAGUGGGAUUACCCCACUAACUCAUAUGUAGAAAAGCCAAGGGUAUUAAAAAAGCUGGGAUUAUCCCACUAGCUCAUAUGAACAUAUGAGCCCAACGACCCAGAUUGAAUCUAGGCCGAUCUUACGAUGACAGAUGUUCGCUAGUGUUUGGAUUUUAUUCAUUUUUUUACAAAUCCAAUUAUUGCUUAAAAUUUUAGGUAUGUGUUCUUCAUCAAGGCGCACCUAAUAAAAAUAUAAAAAAAUUUAUUCGCAAAAACAAAAUGACCAAAAUACCUCCCAAAGCUUUUGGGGGUAUUUUGGUCAAUUUAUUUCAUUUAAAAUAUUUUUUUGAUAUUUUUCAAAGAUUCAUCUAUUUUUUAUAAACAUACACCUAAAAUUUUAAGUGAUUUGGAUUUGUAGAAAAUAAAAUAAAAUUUAAACACUACCAAACAUCUGUGACCGUCAGAUCGACCUAAAUUCAAUAUGGGCCGUUGGCCUCAUAUAUUCAUAUGACCUAGUGGGCUAAUCCCAGCUUUUUCCUAUAUAUAUAUAUAAACCUUCCAACAGUUGGGCAGCUAUAAUGAAUAGUAAUAUAGGUGGAAUCCCAG